UACGUAGGGUGCAGGCGUUAAUCGGAAUUAUUGGGCGUAAAGCGUGCGCAGGCGGUUUCUUAAGUCAGAUGUGAAAGCCCCGGGCUUAACCUGGGAACUGCGUUUGAAACUGGGAGACUUGAGUGUGGCAGAGGGGGGUGGAAUUCCACGUGUAGCAGUGAAAUGCGUAGAUAUGUGGAGGAACACCGAUGGCGAAGGCAGCUCCCUGGGUUAACACUGACGCUCAGGCACGAAAGCGUGGGGAGCAAACAGG
Molecule: ribosomal RNA, 253 nt
Filed under: uncultured bacterium
Lineage: Bacteria
Description: partial 16S ribosomal RNA
Rfam family: Bacterial small subunit ribosomal RNA
Source: RNAcentral